UGUGCCAUAGCCGGCUGUGCCAGGCCAUGCCAUGCCCAUGCCAUACUGUGCCAUGCCGUACUGUGCCAUGCCAUGCCAUGCCUGGCUGUGCCAUGCCAUGCCAUGCCAUGCCAUACCGUGCCAUACCACACCAUGCCUGCUGUUUUGAGCCCCUCCAGCUGUGUCCAGCUGCCCGCUGCUCUCUGCCCAGAGCCGUGCGGGUCUGGGGGUCUCAGCAGCGCGGCCGGGGUUGGGCUCCCCGCUGCCCGGGAGCAGGAGGAGCCGCGCUGGGUGAGGCCGUGGGCUGGGUGAGUCACUGGCCGCGCUCUGGCCGCGCUCCGGGCACGGAUUCCGCUGCACUCCCACCCGGACGCCGAGCGGGGCGGGGGGCGCCGGGCCGGGCCGCGCCAUGGGCUUCUCGCUCUGCUGCUGUUGCUGCUGCGGGCCGGGAGAAGGUGAGCGGCGGGCCGGGGGGUCGGGGGGAUCGGGAUGCCGUGGCACCCCCCAGGACCCCCGUUCCCCUUCCCAACACGAACAGGUCCGGCCCUGCGUGUGCUGGCGGGCUGCUCCGACCGCGGCCGGGGACAGCGGGACUCGGCGUUGGGCACAGGGGGUCCCGGCAGCUUGGGGGGCGUCCGUGGGGACCCCCGGAAAACGCGCAGGGGGCUGUCCUUGGCACAGGGACCCCGGUGGGAACGGGAAGCCGGGAGGAACGGGCGCUGGAGCGAGCGGUUCGUGCGGGGGGACAGGAGCUGUCCCCACCCCCGGGGCUCUGUGUGUGCGGAGGGGCCGGGACGAGGCUGCGGGAGAUUUCGGGGUGCCCCGUGACUGCAGCGCCGGCUGGUCCAGGGGGCUCCGGGCGGAGGGGCGCGGGUGGGGGGCACAGGGGGCUGCUGUGUGCCGGCUUUGUGGGGUGCAGAGUCCCGGCACGGGGGUCCCGAGUGCCGGAGGGGAUGAUGUCCCGUCCGGAGAUCGCCCCGGGGUACGGGAUGGAGUUCCCCCUCGGAUCCCUCGGGUUUCCCCGGGUGCUGCGGGCGGUGGCGCAGCCGGAGCCGCCGAGGGGAGGGCGGGGCGGAGCGGGGCGGGUCCCGCCCGUUUCCCCCCCCCGCCCGUCCCGUCCGCCCGGUGCCGCUGCUCGGUCCCGGCCGUGGGUCCGUCGGUCGCUCGGUGGAUGGUGGGUCCCGUCCAGUCCCGUCGGGUGGAGCGGCGCGGCCAUGUCGAGCCCCGGUGCCGGUGGGGACUGGCUGAGCGGCGGCUCCGGGCCCGAGCGGCGGCGGUACCUGAGCGC
Molecule: long non-coding RNA, 1267 nt
Filed under: Parus major (Great Tit)
Lineage: Eukaryota; Metazoa; Chordata; Aves; Passeriformes; Paridae
Description: lncRNA (ENSPMJG00000002280.1)
Source: RNAcentral